RNAcentral lists this ribosomal RNA (819 nucleotides) under uncultured bacterium. RNAcentral's name for it is "bacterial SSU rRNA". It matches the Rfam family "Bacterial small subunit ribosomal RNA", at positions 8 to 796 of the family's 1533-position model. The record is from RNAcentral.
AGAGUUUGAUCUUGGCUCAGGACGAACGCUGGCGGCGUGCCUAAUACAUGCAAGUCGAACGCUUUUUUCAAUCAUCGUAGCUUGCUACACCGAUUGGAAAUUGAGUGGCGAACGGGUGAGUAACACGUGGGUAACCUGCCCAAAAGAGGGGGAUAACACUUGGAAACAGGUGCUAAUACCGCAUAACCAUGAUGACCGCAUGGUCAUUAUGUAAAAGAUGGUUUCGGCUAUCACUUUUGGAUGGACCCGCGGCGUAUUAACUUGUUGGUGGGGUAACGGCCUACCAAGGUAAUGAUACGUAGCCGAACUGAGAGGUUGAUCGGCCACAUUGGGACUGAGACACGGCCCAAACUCCUACGGGAGGCAGCAGUAGGGAAUCUUCCACAAUGGGCGCAAGCCUGAUGGAGCAACGCCGCGUGAGUGAAGAAGGUCUUCGGAUCGUAAAACUCUGUUGUUAGAGAAGAACAUGCGAGAGAGUAACUGUUCUUGUAUUGACGGUAUCUAACCAGAAAGCCACGGCUAACUACGUGCCAGCAGCCGCGGUAAUACGUAGGUGGCAAGCGUUGUCCGGAUUUAUUGGGCGUAAAGCGAGCGCAGGCGGAAGAAUAAGUCUGAUGUGAAAGCCCUCGGCUUAACCGAGGAACUGCAUCGGAAACUGUUUUUCUUGAGUGCAGAAGAGGAGAGUGGAACUCCAUGUGUAGCGGUGGAAUGCGUAGAUAUAUGGAAGAACACCAGUGGCGAAGGCGGCUCUCUGGUCUGCAACUGACGCUGAGGCUCGAAAGCAUGGGUAGCGAACAGGAUUAGAUACCCUGGUAGUCC